CAGUCGCCGCGGGAAUACGUAGGGUGCGAGCGUUAAUCGGAAUUACUGGGCGUAAAGCGUGCGCAGGCGGUUAUGUAAGACAGGUGUGAAAUCCCCGGGCUCAACCUGGGAAUGGCGCUUGUGACUGCAAAGCUAGAAUGUGGCAGAAGGGGAUGGAAUUCCGCGCGUAGCAGUGGAAUGCGUAGAUAUGCGGAGGAACACCGAUGGCGAAGGCAAUCCCCUGGGCCUGCACUGACGCUCAUGCACGAAAGCGUGGGGAGCAAACAGGAUUAGAUACCCCUGUAGUCCCUGUCUCUUAUAC
RNAcentral lists this ribosomal RNA (301 nucleotides) under uncultured bacterium. RNAcentral's name for it is "partial 16S ribosomal RNA". It matches the Rfam family "Bacterial small subunit ribosomal RNA", at positions 509 to 807 of the family's 1533-position model. The record is from RNAcentral.